UGACGCAACUCGAAAGAAUAAACACAUUUUAGAUGAACGAUUGCGAUGAAUGGACGUCGGCGUUUCAAUCGGCGUGUUUUGUUCCGUUUAAAGUUAAAAUUGUGGGUAAAUUAUUUUCCAAUUGUGAUGGAACUUUGACAUAAUGGGUGGAUAUUGGAAACGGAUUUUUACAGUGUUCCUCUUGGAAAUAGUUGUUAUUAUAUGUGAUAGUUUCCCAUAUGUUAAGCAGGGUCACUCCGAUGUAACGUUAAGAACAUAUGAACACGAUGAAGGAUACAAGAACACUCAUUCAAAUGAGGGUGACACUUUUAUGCACAUUUUAAAUUUGUAUAAAGUAAUGCCAAACGGUCGCUCUUGUACACAAAUUGAAAGAAUUAAAGACACGAACGUCCUUUCAGAUAUCCAGAAAAGGACGCAAAUCCUACGAAAUGUGAGACGUAAGAGUGUAAAAUCCAUAGCAACUAUUUUAAAAAGAAAGAUUUUACCGGAAAAAAGGGCUACUUUGGACAGUGACACGACGCACAGAGACCUUUCAAACUACGACCUUAUUAACAAUACACAAUUUUAUGUUAGUACAAUAAGUAACAUUGGUAAUCGCGAAAGUUCGAAGCUAUAUUCAAAAAGCUUAUCACAUGCCUUAAAAAAUCCGAAAGCACCUGUGUUAGAAAAUGACAUAUCACAUUCCAAAGACGCAGAAAAACGAAGACGGCGUUCACAUUUACUUGGUUUUGGAAUAAAUAACUUCUUGCGUAACGUCAUAGACAACCCGAGGUCGGAAAUAGUGUAUGGUGCUCAUUCUAAAGCAUGUGAUCCAGUCGACCAAAAUUAUUGUCUAAACGGAGGCAGCUGUAUAAUUGUUGUUCCAUUAAACAUCAAAACAUGCCAAUGCAAGGUAGGCUUCACCGGUCAGAGAUGCCAGAUGUGGAAUCAAGAGUACCUGCUCGCCCUCCUGUCACAAGAGAUCAUCGGCUAGACGCCAUACACCGCUAAUAAGAAAAAUGGUGUACGCAUUUUCGAAUAAAGAAGCAAGGAAAUUUGUGUUUGACGUCAUUAUGUACAUGUGUCUUCGUGAGCAGUGCAACAACAUACGGCAAUCGCCGAGAUGUCCAACAUUUCAUGUAAAACAAGCAGUUCUGCAAUCAAUCAUAGCCGGUCUUUGUUGAGUGAAUGCCCGUGUGUUGCUUAAAUGACAUUAACCAUUUUAUAUAUCGGCGUCAGUACCAACUGAGAUGAAUAUGAAAAUGAGCCCAAGUUUGUUGAUAUUAAUUUUUUAUUGGAUGCAUUUGAAUGCCCGUAAGUAGCGUUACAGCUAUGUCUAUUUGCUUACCAAAUUAAGGUGGAUUGCAUCCCUCGUCUGUCCAUUUCGCACGAUGGGAGAUUGUUUGCGAUAGAUGAUUUAUGAUUCGCAUAUGUCUAUAGAGUUCGUCGUGUACAUGCAGUAUUUUUUAAAGAAAACACUGCGUGUGACAUUGCAAAUAUCUAAGAGCAUCGUUUAAUGUAUACACUCGUUUGGUGUCAAGUGUAUAAAUAUCUCAUAU
This is a long non-coding RNA of Dreissena polymorpha, 1538 nucleotides long. RefSeq lists it as uncharacterized. The record is from RefSeq and is a predicted model, not a curated record. The transcript is spliced from 3 exons. Lineage: Eukaryota; Metazoa; Mollusca; Bivalvia; Myida; Dreissenidae.